GGCGGGGUCCCUAAUACAUGCAAGUCGAGCGGACAGAUGGGAGCUUGCUCCCUGAUGUUAGCGGCGGACGGGUGAGUAACACGUGGGUAACCUGCCUGUAAGACUGGGAUAACUCCGGGAAACCGGGGCUAAUACCGGAUGGUUGUUUGAACCGCAUGGUUCAGACAUAAAAGGUGGCUUCGGCUACCACUUACAGAUGGACCCGCGGCGCAUUAGCUAGUUGGUGAGGUAACGGCUCACCAAGGCGACGAUGCGUAGCCGACCUGAGAGGGUGAUCGGCCACACUGGGACUGAGACACGGCCCAGACUCCUACGGGAGGCAGCAGUAGGGAAUCUUCCGCAAUGGACGAAAGUCUGACGGAGCAACGCCGCGUGAGUGAUGAAGGUUUUCGGAUCGUAAAGCUCUGUUGUUAGGGAAGAACAAGUGCCGUUCAAAUAGGGCGGCACCUUGACGGUACCUAACCAGAAAGCCACGGCUAACUACGUGCCAGCAGCCGCGGUAAUACGUAGGUGGCAAGCGUUGUCCGGAAUUAUUGGGCGUAAAGGGCUCGCAGGCGGUUUCUUAAGUCUGAUGUGAAAGCCCCCGGCUCAACCGGGGAGGGUCAUUGGAAACUGGGGAACUUGAGUGCAGAAGAGGAGAGUGGAAUUCCACGUGUAGCGGUGAAAUGCGUAGAGAUGUGGAGGAACACCAGUGGCGAAGGCGACUCUCUGGUCUGUAACUGACGCUGAGGAGCGAAAGCGUGGGGAGCGAACAGGAUUAGAUACCCUGGUAGUCCACGCCGUAAACGAUGAGUGCUAAGUGUUAGGGGGUUUCCGCCCCUUAGUGCUGCAGCUAACGCAUUAAGCACUCCGCCUGGGGAGUACGGUCGCAAGACUGAAACUCAAAGGAAUUGACGGGGGCCCGCACAAGCGGUGGAGCAUGUGGUUUAAUUCGAAGCAACGCGAAGAACCUUACCAGGUCUUGACAUCCUCUGACAAUCCUAGAGAUAGGACGUCCCCUUCGGGGGCAGAGUGACAGGUGGUGCAUGGUUGUCGUCAGCUCGUGUCGUGAGAUGUUGGGUUAAGUCCCGCAACGAGCGCAACCCUUGAUCUUAGUGGCCAGCAUUCAGUUGGGCACUCUAAGGUGACUGCCGGUGACAAACCGGAGAAAGGUGGGAAUGACGUCAAAUCAUCAUGCCCCGUAUGACCUGGGC
Molecule: ribosomal RNA, 1193 nt
Filed under: Bacillus subtilis
Lineage: Bacteria; Bacillati; Bacillota; Bacilli; Caryophanales; Bacillaceae
Description: bacterial SSU rRNA
Rfam family: Bacterial small subunit ribosomal RNA
Source: RNAcentral